CGGAAGUGAAGGUCGUAACGUUCGAUAUAUUUUCGAGUUAGGAUUGAGACUUGCUGCGUUCGGGACGCAGAGGUCGGAGGUUCAAAUCCUCUCGCUCCGA
This 100-nucleotide transfer RNA is filed under the name Phycisphaerae bacterium. Its description in RNAcentral is "tRNA-Pro". Lineage: Bacteria; Pseudomonadati; Planctomycetota; Phycisphaerae. The record is from RNAcentral.